GUUCAUGGGAACUCAUAGCACAGUUAUGUGGAUAUCUGAUCAUAUUUUCAUGGAUAUUCCAUAUUUUUUUCUCUCUGGUUAAUGGGAACUCACAGCACAGUUAUGUGGAUAUUUGAUCAUAUUUUCAGGGAUAUUCCAUAUUAUUUUUUCCUCUAGUUCACAGGAACUCACAGCAGAAUUAGAUGGAUAUUUGAUCAUAUUUUCAGGGAUAUUUCACUUUUUUUUUCCUCUGGUUCAUGGGAACUCACAGCAGAAUUAGAUGGAUAUUAAAUAAUAUUUUCAGGGAUAUUUUUUCCUCUGGCUCACAGGAACUCACAGCAGAAUUAGAUGGAUAUUAAAUAAUAUUUUCAGGGAUAUUUUUUCCUCUGGCUCACAGGAACUCACAACAGAAUCAGAUAGAUAUUUGAACAUAUUUUCAGGGAUAUUCCAUAUUAUUUUUUCCUCUAGUUCACAGGAACUCACAGCAGAAUUAGAUGGAUAUUUGAUCAUAUUUUCAGGGAUAUUUCACUUUUUUUUUCCUCUGGUUCACGGGAACUCACAGCAGAGUUAGAUGGAUAUUUGGUCAUAUUUUCAGGAAUAUUUCACAUUUUUUUCCUCUGGUUAAUGGGAACUCACAAUAGAAUUAUAUGGAUAUUUGAUCAUAUUUUCAGGGAUAUUCCAUGUUAUUUUUUCCUCUAGUUCACAGGAACUCACAGUAGAAUUAGAUGGAUAUUAAAUAAUAUUUUCAGGGAUAUUUUUUCCUCUAGUUCACAGGAACUCACAGCAGAAUUAGAUGGAUAUUAAAUAAUGUUUUCAGGGAUUUUUUUUCUCUGGCUCACAGGAACUCACAGCAGAAUCAGAUGGAUAUUAAAUAAUAUUUUCAGGGAUAUUUCAGUUUUUUCCUCUCUGGUUAAUGGGAACUCACAGCAGAAUUAGAUGGAUAUUUCAUCGGAUAUUUUCAGGGAUAUUUCACUUUUUUUUCCUCUCUGGUUCACAGGAACUCACAGCAGAAUUAUAUGGAUAUUUGACCAUAUUUUCAUAGAUAUUUCAGGUUUUUAUCCCUCUGGUUCACAGGAACUCACAGCAGUUAUGUGGAUAUUGAUCAUAUUUUCAGGGAUAUUCCAUAAUUUUUUUCCCUCUGGUUCAUGGGAACUCACAGCAGAAUUAAAUGGAUAUUUGAUCGGAUAUUUGAUCAUAUUUUCAUAGAUAUUUCAGGUUUUUUUCCCUCUGUUUCACAGGAUCUCACAGCAGAAUUUGAUGGAUAUUUGAUCAUAUUUUCAUGGAUAUUUCACUUUUUUUCCCUCUCUGGCUCACAGGAACUCACAGCAGAGUUAUAUGGAUAUUGACCAUAUUUUCAGGAAUAUUCCAUAAUUUUUUUCCCUCUGGUUAACAGGAACUCCAGCAGAAUUAUGUGAAUAUUUGAUCAUAUUUUCAUGGAUAUUUCACUUUUUUUCCUUCUGGUUAAUGGGAACUCACAACAGAAUUAUAUGAAUAUUUGAUCAUAUUUUCAGGGAUAUUUCCCUUUUUUUUCCUUCUGGCUCACAGGAACUCGCAGCAGAGUUAUAUGGAUAUAUGAUCAUAUUUUCAGGGAUAUUCCAUAAUUUUUUUCCCUCUGGUUCACAGGAACUCACAGCACAGUUAUGUGAAUAUUGAUCAUAUUUUCAGGGAUAUUUCACUUUUUUUUCCCCCUCUGGCUCACAGGAACUCACAGCAGUGUUAUAUAGGUAAUUGAUCACAUUUUGAUGGAUAUUUCACAUUUUUUCCCUCUGGCUCCCACCCCUGAGCC
Oenanthe melanoleuca is the source of this 1765-nucleotide long non-coding RNA. RefSeq lists it as uncharacterized. The transcript has 3 exons. NCBI's taxonomy places the organism in Eukaryota, Metazoa, Chordata, Aves, Passeriformes, Muscicapidae. The record is from RefSeq and is a predicted model, not a curated record.